GGGGGUGAUCGGUUUCGACGUCGUACGGCAUUUCAGGGGAAGCGGGUCGAGGAGGCAAGGUCAUCUCGUCAACGCUCCUUGCGAAACCAAUAGCUGCCAAUUCCAAGCGCAGCGACUUCGCCCUCGCCGCCUGAGCGAGCCACGAAGUCUGUCAGCCUGAGCUAGUUCUCGACUCAGUGUCUGGCAUCAGCUAGAGAACUUGCUCCGCCGUCAGGUCACCGGACGGCGGGGGACUCCUAACGUGACUGGGCCUGUCAGGGAACGUGUGCGCGCGAGCCCUGGGGCCGAGAAAAUCCGUAGCGCACUGCACCCGGAGAAGCCCUGAUCUACUUGCGACGGACGCGGGUUCGAUUCCCGCCACCUCCACGA
This 369-nucleotide transfer-messenger RNA is filed under the name Ornithinimicrobium avium. RNAcentral's name for it is "Standard tmRNA". It matches the Rfam family "transfer-messenger RNA". From Rfam's summary of the family: Bacterial tmRNA, also known as 10Sa RNA or SsrA, is named for its dual tRNA and mRNA-like properties. Its role is to liberate the mRNA from a stalled ribosome. To accomplish this part of the tmRNA is used as a reading frame that ends in a translation stop signal. The record is from Rfam by way of RNAcentral. Lineage: Bacteria; Bacillati; Actinomycetota; Actinomycetes; Micrococcales; Ornithinimicrobiaceae.